CUCGAUUCGUUAGAACAGCUUCCAUUGAGUCUCUGCACCUAUCCUUUUCCUUUGUAUUCUAGUUCGAGAACCCCUUGUUUUCUAAAACACGGAUUUGGCUCAGGAUUGCCCUUUUUUAAUUCCAGGGUUUCUCUGAAUUUGGAAGUUACCACUUAG
Molecule: ribosomal RNA, 156 nt
Filed under: Triticum aestivum (bread wheat)
Lineage: Eukaryota; Viridiplantae; Streptophyta; Magnoliopsida; Poales; Poaceae
Description: partial small subunit ribosomal RNA
Source: RNAcentral